UACGUAGGGGGCAAGCGUUAUCCGGAUUUACUGGGUGUAAAGGGAGCGUAGACGGAUGGACAAGUCUGAUGUGAAAGGCUGGGGCUCAACUCCGGGACUGCAUUGGAAACUGCCCGUCUUGAGUGCCGGAGAGGUAAGCGGAAUUCCUAGUGUAGCGGUGAAAUGCGUAGAUAUUAGGAGGAACACCAGUGGCGAAGGCGGCUUACUGGACGGUAACUGACGUUGAGGCUCGAAAGCGUGGGGAG
RNAcentral lists this ribosomal RNA (245 nucleotides) under uncultured Blautia sp. Its description in RNAcentral is "partial 16S ribosomal RNA". It matches the Rfam family "Bacterial small subunit ribosomal RNA", at positions 524 to 768 of the family's 1533-position model. Lineage: Bacteria; Bacillati; Bacillota; Clostridia; Lachnospirales; Lachnospiraceae. The record is from RNAcentral.